This 329-nucleotide unclassified non-coding RNA is filed under the name soil metagenome. RNAcentral's name for it is "partial contains 5.8S ribosomal RNA, internal transcribed spacer 2, and large subunit ribosomal RNA". The stretch from base 1 to 120 matches the Rfam family "5.8S ribosomal RNA", at positions 35 to 154 of the family's 154-position model. The record is from RNAcentral.
GAUGAAGAACGUAGCGAAAUGCGAUAAGUAAUGUGAAUUGCAGAAUUCAGUGAAUCAUCGAAUCUUUGAACGCACAUUGCGCCCUCUGGUAUUCCGGGGGGCAUGCCUGUUCGAGCGUCAUUAUAACCACUCAAGCUCUCGCUUGGUAUUGGGGUUCGCGGUUUCGCGGCCCCUAAAAUCAGUGGCGGUGCCUGUCGGCUCUACGCGUAGUAAUACUUCUCGCGAUUGAGUUCGAUAGGUCUACUUGCCAGUAACCCCCAAUUUUUAAAGGUUGACCUCGGAUCAGGUAGGGAUACCCGCUGAACUUAAGCAUAUCAAUAAGCGGAGGA